GGAGAAAGCUGUUCUCUGAGCUUGCAUCUGUGGGUUAGGGGUGUAUCAUCUAUAUUGUCUACAUGGAGACAACUUCAUGCAUUCAGGGGAAAUGGACUUGAAGAUCUGGUCCUGAUUCUGCUCUGCAAUUUGAUAGCACAAAUCCCUGGAAGACUGGGCUUCAGUUGGGCUCUACAAGGAAGAAGGGUCCACUCUGUCUGGUUUCAUUGCAGGAUCAGGGACUUACUUCCUCUCUAAGAACUGAGUUCAAGAGUUGGUAAUAACACUAGCACCUUGAAACAGUUCAGAAAGCAGAAUUUCCAGGAUCAAAGCCUAAAUUCAAUGAGAAGAGAAUUUGACUGUUGCUCUUUUUGUCUUUCUAGCUAUCUUGUCCACUGAUGAAGGAGAAACACAGAACUGUGUUCUUAAAGAAUAUUUUUGUUUUAAAAUGCACAUGUAUACACAUUUUGUGGUUUAAUGGGAUAGUGGUCAAAAUACUUCCUCUUUAACCCAGCUAAGCAGGUCUAAAAUAUCUGUCUGAAAUGGAUGUCCUAUGGGAAUGUGCCUUCAAACAGCAUCCCAAGAGUGGUUAGCAGAAACACGGGGCACUAAUUUUAAUCCCUGCAGAAAAACCUCCAUGAUCUCUGUGCAUAUAGUAUAGAAAAUCUGCACUAUUUUCAGGCUGGUGUUUUUCAGUAAAAAAGUAUGUAAAUAUA
Molecule: long non-coding RNA, 695 nt
Organism: Mauremys reevesii (Reeves's turtle)
Lineage: Eukaryota; Metazoa; Chordata; Testudines; Geoemydidae
Exons: 3
Source: RefSeq, a predicted model, not a curated record